Molecule: long non-coding RNA, 1369 nt
Organism: Gopherus flavomarginatus (Mexican gopher tortoise)
Lineage: Eukaryota; Metazoa; Chordata; Testudines; Testudinidae
Exons: 2
Source: RefSeq, a predicted model, not a curated record
CGAUCGAACCAGAGGCCGUGGGCGAGAUUCCGGCCCCCCGCCCUGCUGCCGGCCGGCUUCGGAGCCUGGUGUGUGUGUGUGUCUGUCAGUAGGCACACUGAGCCACUGCUCUGAAAGGAAAAGCCUUUUGCCUGUGGUUGGGCACAUUCCACUACCUCUUCCAAAUAGCACCUCCACAGCCCCUAACUCUGCUCUCUUCAGUUGCCAGCAGGUGGAAAGCAAGUAGGGUGUAGAAACAGAGUGGUAUGUUAUUGUGCGAGCCUGGCUGUAUUGCUGGAGAAUGAGCAGCAGAUAAAGUUCAGAGUUAUUUACAGUCACCUCUGCAGCUCCCUCUCCCCUCUGUCAUUUGAGAACAUUACUGUGGUAACUCCAGCAGGGGCCACAGUACGAAAGCUGUGAAGUUGGUGCUGGGAGGAAGUAGGACAGGCAGAUUGAUGAUUCCCAGGGAACAGGAGCAAGUGUGCUGUGGACCAAGAGAGAUGCACCAAGGAGGCACAGGGUGAAUCCUGUUGGAGAGCUCCGGAAGCAGCUUCAAGGACAAGCACUGUCGCAGCUCCUGUCUUCCUGUGGCAGGUGUGAAGCCCGGGGCUCUGUUUAGGGGCCAGGAAGACACUAGGAGACUCCUUCUGCACUAGGAAUGGAAGGAAACGGGGCAAUUUUCUCAAAGAAAAGCGAAGGGAGCAGGAUGGGUGACACUUAAACCAUCUUUUCCUCUUGCUAUAAUAGGCUGCCCCCUCCCAGUUAAACAGAAGUAGUGGAGCCUCUGCCUCUAACAGCUUCCACCACUUUUAGAUCCUUUCCAGGCACAAGCAUAAACUUUUAUCACUCCCUCACACUAAGCUUGGGUGCCUGGACUUAGCUAAUACAAAAGCUACUUUCAGACCCAAACAGGCCCCUUCUUUCUUGCACUGGGCUAGCAGGGAAUGUGGUGGUCUCAGGUACAUGCACUACUCCAAUCUCUUUCCAACUGGGAAACUGCUAUAAAGAACAGGGAAGGCAACAAUGGUGCAAGUCUUCACUUACCUGGGUAUCCUUGAGCCAGCCAGAAGCAGUUAAGUGCUCUUCAUUUUGACAGAUCAGGCUAAGGAAGACACGGGGCCUGAAACUCAUGACAACAACCUGGCUUGGAGGGGUCUGAUUUGCUCUUGGAGGAGGGAAAGCAUUCUAUUUAGACUGAGCUUCUCAGGGCCUGUGUUCAACAACAACAGUGCAGCAGUCUGGGGGUGAAGGAGGUAAAGGAUGGCUAUAGAACCACACACAAGUACGGUGGCACAGAUCAGUACAAAUAGGGAGAAAUGGUGAGGUGAAAGGUCAGCGGAGAACAGACUGCUUCACUAGUUUAGAGAGGUUUGAGCUUUUUUUUUUUUUU